UCUGAGCAUUUGGCAGAAGGCAU
Molecule: non-coding RNA, 23 nt
Filed under: Cricetulus griseus (Chinese hamster)
Lineage: Eukaryota; Metazoa; Chordata; Mammalia; Rodentia; Cricetidae
Source: RNAcentral